RNAcentral lists this ribosomal RNA (1372 nucleotides) under uncultured bacterium. RNAcentral describes it as "bacterial SSU rRNA". It matches the Rfam family "Bacterial small subunit ribosomal RNA", at positions 28 to 1381 of the family's 1533-position model. The record is from RNAcentral.
GAUGAACGCUGGCGGCGUGCCUAAUACAUGCAAGUCGAGCGAACGGACGAGAAGCUUGCUUCUCUGAUGUUAGCGGCGGACGGGUGAGUAACACGUGGAUAACCUACCUAUAAGACUGGGAUAACUUCGGGAAACCGGAGCUAAUACCGGAUAAUAUUUUGAACCGCAUGGUUCAAAAGUGAAAGACGGUCUUGCUGUCACUUAUAGAUGGAUCCGCGCUGCAUUAGCUAGUUGGUAAGGUAACGGCUUACCAAGGCAACGAUGCAUAGCCGACCUGAGAGGGUGAUCGGCCACACUGGAACUGAGACACGGUCCAGACUCCUACGGGAGGCAGCAGUAGGGAGUCUUCCGCAAUGGGCGAAAGCCUGACGGAGCAACGCCGCGUGAGUGAUGAAGGUCUUCGGAUCGUAAAACUCUGUUAUUAGGGAAGAACAUAUGUGUAAGUAACUGUGCACAUCUUGACGGUACCUAAUCAGAAAGCCACGGCUAACUACGUGCCAGCAGCCGCGGUAAUACGUAGGUGGCAAGCGUUAUCCGGAAUUAUUGGGCGUAAAGCGCGCGUAGGCGGUUUUUUAAGUCUGAUGUGAAAGCCCACGGCUCAACCGUGGAGGGUCAUUGGAAACUGGAAAACUUGAGUGCAGAAGAGGAAAGUGGAAUUCCAUGUGUAGCGGUGAAAUGCGCAGAGAUAUGGAGGAACACCAGUGGCGAAGGCGACUUUCUGGUCUGUAACUGACGCUGAUGUGCGAAAGCGUGGGGAUCAAACAGGAUUAGAUACCCUGGUAGUCCACGCCGUAAACGAUGAGUGCUAAGUGUUAGGGGGUUUCCGCCCCUUAGUGCUGCAGCUAACGCAUUAAGCACUCCGCCUGGGGAGUACGACCGCAAGGUUGAAACUCAAAGGAAUUGACGGGGACCCGCACAAGCGGUGGAGCAUGUGGUUUAAUUCGAAGCAACGCGAAGAACCUUACCAAAUCUUGACAUCCUUUGACAACUCUAGAGAUAGAGCUUUCCCCUUCGGGGGACAAAGUGACAGGUGGUGCAUGGUUGUCGUCAGCUCGUGUCGUGAGAUGUUGGGUUAAGUCCCGCAACGAGCGCAACCCUUAAGCUUAGUUGCCAUCAUUAAGUUGGGCACUCUAAGUUGACUGCCGGUGACAAACCGGAGGAAGGUGGGGAUGACGUCAAAUCAUCAUGCCCCUUAUGAUUUGGGCUACACACGUGCUACAAUGGACAAUACAAAGGGCAGCGAAACCGCGAGGUCAAGCAAAUCCCAUAAAGUUGUUCUCAGUUCGGAUUGUAGUCUGCAACUCGACUACAUGAAGCUGGAAUCGCUAGUAAUCGUAGAUCAGCAUGCUACGGUGAAUACGUUCCCGGGUCU